This 60-nucleotide transfer RNA is filed under the name Coraebus cavifrons. RNAcentral's name for it is "tRNA-Ser". The record is from RNAcentral. Lineage: Eukaryota; Metazoa; Arthropoda; Insecta; Coleoptera; Buprestidae.
GAAAUAAAUUUAAGGAAACUUCUAACUUCCAAAAUUAGCAGUAAAACUGUUAUUAUUUCU